Molecule: ribosomal RNA, 1407 nt
Filed under: Escherichia coli
Lineage: Bacteria; Pseudomonadati; Pseudomonadota; Gammaproteobacteria; Enterobacterales; Enterobacteriaceae
Description: bacterial SSU rRNA
Rfam family: Bacterial small subunit ribosomal RNA
Source: RNAcentral
GAUAACUACUGGAAACGGUAGCUAAUACCGCAUAACGUCGCAAGACCAAAGAGGGGGACCUUAGGGCCUCUUGCCAUCGGAUGUGCCCAGAUGGGAUUAGCUAGUAGGUGGGGUAACGGCUCACCUAGGCGACGAUCCCUAGCUGGUCUGAGAGGAUGACCAGCCACACUGGAACUGAGACACGGUCCAGACUCCUACGGGAGGCAGCAGUGGGGAAUAUUGCACAAUGGGCGCAAGCCUGAUGCAGCCAUGCCGCGUGUAUGAAGAAGGCCUUCGGGUUGUAAAGUACUUUCAGCGGGGAGGAAGGGAGUAAAGUUAAUACCUUUGCUCAUUGACGUUACCCGCAGAAGAAGCACCGGCUAACUCCGUGCCAGCAGCCGCGGUAAUACGGAGGGUGCAAGCGUUAAUCGGAAUUACUGGGCGUAAAGCGCACGCAGGCGGUUUGUUAAGUCAGAUGUGAAAUCCCCGGGCUCAACCUGGGAACUGCAUCUGAUACUGGCAAGCUUGAGUCUCGUAGAGGGGGGUAGAAUUCCAGGUGUAGCGGUGAAAUGCGUAGAGAUCUGGAGGAAUACCGGUGGCGAAGGCGGCCCCCUGGACGAAGACUGACGCUCAGGUGCGAAAGCGUGGGGAGCAAACAGGAUUAGAUACCCUGGUAGUCCACGCCGUAAACGAUGUCGACUUGGAGGUUGUGCCCUUGAGGCGUGGCUUCCGGAGCUAACGCGUUAAGUCGACCGCCUGGGGAGUACGGCCGCAAGGUUAAAACUCAAAUGAAUUGACGGGGGCCCGCACAAGCGGUGGAGCAUGUGGUUUAAUUCGAUGCAACGCGAAGAACCUUACCUGGUCUUGACAUCCACGGAAGUUUUCAGAGAUGAGAAUGUGCCUUCGGGAACCGUGAGACAGGUGCUGCAUGGCUGUCGUCAGCUCGUGUUGUGAAAUGUUGGGUUAAGUCCCGCAACGAGCGCAACCCUUAUCCUUUGUUGCCAGCGGUCCGGCCGGGAACUCAAAGGAGACUGCCAGUGAUAAACUGGAGGAAGGUGGGGAUGACGUCAAGUCAUCAUGGCCCUUACGACCAGGGCUACACACGUGCUACAAUGGCGCAUACAAAGAGAAGCGACCUCGCGAGAGCAAGCGGACCUCAUAAAGUGCGUCGUAGUCCGGAUUGGAGUCUGCAACUCGACUCCAUGAAGUCGGAAUCGCUAGUAAUCGUGGAUCAGAAUGCCACGGUGAAUACGUUCCCGGGCCUUGUACACACCGCCCGUCACACCAUGGGAGUGGGUUGCAAAAGAAGUAGGUAGCUUAACCUUCGGGAGGGCGCUUACCACUUUGUGAUUCAUGACUGGGGUGAAGUCGUAACAAGGUAACCGUAGGGGAACCUGCGGUUGGAUCACCUCCUUACCUUAAAGAAGC